Molecule: ribosomal RNA, 2904 nt
Filed under: Escherichia coli
Lineage: Bacteria; Pseudomonadati; Pseudomonadota; Gammaproteobacteria; Enterobacterales; Enterobacteriaceae
Description: bacterial LSU rRNA
Rfam family: Bacterial large subunit ribosomal RNA
Source: RNAcentral
UUAAGCGACUAAGCGUACACGGUGGAUGCCCUGGCAGUCAGAGGCGAUGAAGGACGUGCUAAUCUGCGAUAAGCGUCGGUAAGGUGAUAUGAACCGUUAUAACCGGCGAUUUCCGAAUGGGGAAACCCAGUGUGAUUCGUCACACUAUCAUUAACUGAAUCCAUAGGUUAAUGAGGCGAACCGGGGGAACUGAAACAUCUAAGUACCCCGAGGAAAAGAAAUCAACCGAGAUUCCCCCAGUAGCGGCGAGCGAACGGGGAGCAGCCCAGAGCCUGAAUCAGUGUGUGUGUUAGUGGAAGCGUCUGGAAAGGCGCGCGAUACAGGGUGACAGCCCCGUACACAAAAAUGCACAUGCUGUGAGCUCGAUGAGUAGGGCGGGACACGUGGUAUCCUGUCUGAAUAUGGGGGGACCAUCCUCCAAGGCUAAAUACUCCUGACUGACCGAUAGUGAACCAGUACCGUGAGGGAAAGGCGAAAAGAACCCCGGCGAGGGGAGUGAAAAAGAACCUGAAACCGUGUACGUACAAGCAGUGGGAGCACGCUUAGGCGUGUGACUGCGUACCUUUUGUAUAAUGGGUCAGCGACUUAUAUUCUGUAGCAAGGUUAACCGAAUAGGGGAGCCGAAGGGAAACCGAGUCUUAACUGGGCGUUAAGUUGCAGGGUAUAGACCCGAAACCCGGUGAUCUAGCCAUGGGCAGGUUGAAGGUUGGGUAACACUAACUGGAGGACCGAACCGACUAAUGUUGAAAAAUUAGCGGAUGACUUGUGGCUGGGGGUGAAAGGCCAAUCAAACCGGGAGAUAGCUGGUUCUCCCCGAAAGCUAUUUAGGUAGCGCCUCGUGAAUUCAUCUCCGGGGGUAGAGCACUGUUUCGGCAAGGGGGUCAUCCCGACUUACCAACCCGAUGCAAACUGCGAAUACCGGAGAAUGUUAUCACGGGAGACACACGGCGGGUGCUAACGUCCGUCGUGAAGAGGGAAACAACCCAGACCGCCAGCUAAGGUCCCAAAGUCAUGGUUAAGUGGGAAACGAUGUGGGAAGGCCCAGACAGCCAGGAUGUUGGCUUAGAAGCAGCCAUCAUUUAAAGAAAGCGUAAUAGCUCACUGGUCGAGUCGGCCUGCGCGGAAGAUGUAACGGGGCUAAACCAUGCACCGAAGCUGCGGCAGCGACGCUGAUGCGUUGUUGGGUAGGGGAGCGUUCUGUAAGCCUGUGAAGGUGUGCUGUGAGGCAUGCUGGAGGUAUCAGAAGUGCGAAUGCUGACAUAAGUAACGAUAAAGCGGGUGAAAAGCCCGCUCGCCGGAAGACCAAGGGUUCCUGUCCAACGUUAAUCGGGGCAGGGUGAGUCGACCCCUAAGGCGAGGCCGAAAGGCGUAGUCGAUGGGAAACAGGUUAAUAUUCCUGUACUUGGUGUUACUGCGAAGGGGGGACGGAGAAGGCUAUGUUGGCCGGGCGACGGUUGUCCCGGUUUAAGCGUGUAGGCUGGUUUUCCAGGCAAAUCCGGAAAAUCAAGGCUGAGGCGUGAUGACGAGGCACUACGGUGCUGAAGCAACAAAUGCCCUGCUUCCAGGAAAAGCCUCUAAGCAUCAGGUAACAUCAAAUCGUACCCCAAACCGACACAGGUGGUCAGGUAGAGAAUACCAAGGCGCUUGAGAGAACUCGGGUGAAGGAACUAGGCAAAAUGGUGCCGUAACUUCGGGAGAAGGCACGCUGAUAUGUAGGUGAAGUCCCUUGCGGAUGGAGCUGAAAUCAGUCGAAGAUACCAGCUGGCUGCAACUGUUUAUUAAAAACACAGCACUGUGCAAACACGAAAGUGGACGUAUACGGUGUGACGCCUGCCCGGUGCCGGAAGGUUAAUUGAUGGGGUUAGCCGCAAGGCGAAGCUCUUGAUCGAAGCCCCGGUAAACGGCGGCCGUAACUAUAACGGUCCUAAGGUAGCGAAAUUCCUUGUCGGGUAAGUUCCGACCUGCACGAAUGGCGUAAUGAUGGCCAGGCUGUCUCCACCCGAGACUCAGUGAAAUUGAACUCGCUGUGAAGAUGCAGUGUACCCGCGGCAAGACGGAAAGACCCCGUGAACCUUUACUAUAGCUUGACACUGAACAUUGAGCCUUGAUGUGUAGGAUAGGUGGGAGGCUUUGAAGUGUGGACGCCAGUCUGCAUGGAGCCGACCUUGAAAUACCACCCUUUAAUGUUUGAUGUUCUAACGUUGACCCGUAAUCCGGGUUGCGGACAGUGUCUGGUGGGUAGUUUGACUGGGGCGGUCUCCUCCUAAAGAGUAACGGAGGAGCACGAAGGUUGGCUAAUCCUGGUCGGACAUCAGGAGGUUAGUGCAAUGGCAUAAGCCAGCUUGACUGCGAGCGUGACGGCGCGAGCAGGUGCGAAAGCAGGUCAUAGUGAUCCGGUGGUUCUGAAUGGAAGGGCCAUCGCUCAACGGAUAAAAGGUACUCCGGGGAUAACAGGCUGAUACCGCCCAAGAGUUCAUAUCGACGGCGGUGUUUGGCACCUCGAUGUCGGCUCAUCACAUCCUGGGGCUGAAGUAGGUCCCAAGGGUAUGGCUGUUCGCCAUUUAAAGUGGUACGCGAGCUGGGUUUAGAACGUCGUGAGACAGUUCGGUCCCUAUCUGCCGUGGGCGCUGGAGAACUGAGGGGGGCUGCUCCUAGUACGAGAGGACCGGAGUGGACGCAUCACUGGUGUUCGGGUUGUCAUGCCAAUGGCACUGCCCGGUAGCUAAAUGCGGAAGAGAUAAGUGCUGAAAGCAUCUAAGCACGAAACUUGCCCCGAGAUGAGUUCUCCCUGACCCUUUAAGGGUCCUGAAGGAACGUUGAAGACGACGACGUUGAUAGGCCGGGUGUGUAAGCGCAGCGAUGCGUUGAGCUAACCGGUACUAAUGAACCGUGAGGCUUAACCUU